UGGGGAAUAUUGCACAAUGGGGGAAACCCUGAUGCAGCGACGCCGCGUGAACGAAGAAGUAUUUCGGUAUGUAAAGUUCUAUCAGCAGGGAAGAUAAUGACGGUACCUGACUAAGAAGCACCGGCUAAAUACGUGCCAGCAGCCGCGGUAAUACGUAUGGUGCAAGCGUUAUCCGGAUUUACUGGGUGUAAAGGGAGCGCAGGCGGUGCGGCAAGUCUGAUGUGAAAGCCCGGGGCUCAACCCCAGUACUGCAUUGGAAACUGUCGUACUAGAGUGUCGGAGGGGUAAGUGGAAUUCCUAGUGUAGCGGUGAAGUGCGUAGAGACGGUA
RNAcentral lists this ribosomal RNA (329 nucleotides) under uncultured Roseburia sp. Its description in RNAcentral is "bacterial SSU rRNA". It matches the Rfam family "Bacterial small subunit ribosomal RNA", at positions 355 to 703 of the family's 1533-position model. The record is from RNAcentral. Lineage: Bacteria; Bacillati; Bacillota; Clostridia; Lachnospirales; Lachnospiraceae.